Long non-coding RNA from Oncorhynchus keta (chum salmon), 547 nucleotides. RefSeq lists it as uncharacterized. The transcript is spliced from 3 exons. Lineage: Eukaryota; Metazoa; Chordata; Actinopteri; Salmoniformes; Salmonidae. The record is from RefSeq and is a predicted model, not a curated record.
AGAAAGGGAAUGUACGCUAGGCAUACGGAAACCUGCUGUCUGAUUAUUUAGCAUUUUUGUUCAUAUCAAAACAUAGACAUUUGUGAUUUAGAGAGUUGAUAAUAAGUUUUUUAUAGUAACAAGGACUUACUUUAAAACGUCUAUAAAAAACGGAAGAAGGGAGAGAUUGAAACAUGGCGUCCAUAGUUCUAAACGAUUUGUCGUCGAGGUGGCACAGUCACUCUCCGACACAGGAAGGAAACCGUGUUGGAGACAUAAGGCCCCGAGUGGAGCACCAAUCAACUCCAUCUAUUGGCAGUCCCAGUGGACAACAAACCUGAUGCCUUAUCAAAGGAAUUGAUGGAAAGAACAUGGCACAAACACAACUGAAUCAUAGAGGUUGGAGACGCAAGCCCAGACAUCUCUCUCUCUCUCUCUCUCUCUCUCCCUCUCAUCUUGUUUCUGGCCCAUGGUAGUGAGGUAUUCUAGGCUCAGGGACAUGAGUCACCAUCCAGAGGAUGCUGUAUGACGUAGCGAACAACCUCUCUUCAAUCACGACAGCAAUCGG